GACCCGCUUGGGCAUCCAAGCGGUUCGAAAGCUCCGGCGGUGCAGGAUGAGCCCGCGGCCUAUCAGCUUGUUGGUGAGGUAAUGGCUCACCAAGGCGACGACGGGUAGCCGGCCUGAGAGGGCGACCGGCCACACUGGGACUGAGACACGGCCCAGACUCCUGCGGGAGGCAGCAGUGGGGGAUAUUGCACAAUGGGCGAAAGCCUGAUGCAGCGACGCCGCGUGAGGGAUGACGGCCUUCGGGUUAAACCCUUUCAGCAGGGAAGAAGCGAAAGUGACGGUACCUGCAGAAGAAGCGCCGGCUACUACGUGCCAGCAGCCGCGGUAAUACGUAGGGCGCGAGCGUUGUCCGGAAUUAUUGGGCGUAAAGAGCUCGUAGGCGGCUUGUCACGUCGGUUGUGAAAGCCCGGGGCUUAACCCCGGGUCUGCAGUCGAUACGGGCAGGCUAGUUCGGUAGGGAGAUCGGAAUUCCUGGUGUAGCGGUGAAAUGCGCAGAUAUCAGGAGGAACACCGGUGGCGAAGGCGGAUCUCUGGGCCGAUACUGACGCUGAGGAGCGAAAGCGUGGGGAGCGAACAGGAUUAGAUACCCUGGUAGUCCACGCCGUAAACGGUGGGCACUAGGUGUGGGCGACAUUCCACGUCGUCCGUGCCGCAGCUAACGCAUUAAGUGCCCCGCCUGGGGAGUACGGCCGCAAGGCUAAAACUCAAAGGAAUUGACGGGGCCCGCACAAGCGGCGGGCAUGUGGCUUAAUUCGACGCAACGCGAAGAACCUUACCAAGGCUUGACAUACACCGGAAACGUCCAGAGAUGGCGCCCCCUUGUGGUCGGUGUACAGGUGGUGCAUGGCUGUCGUCAGCUCGUGUCGUGAGAUGUUGGGUUAAGUCCCGCAACGAGCGCAACCCUUGUCCCGUGUUGCCAGCAGGCCCUUGUGGUGCUGGGGACUCACGGGAGACCGCCGGGGUCAACUCGGAGGAAGGUGGGGACGACGUCAAGUCAUCAUGCCCCUUAUGUCUUGGGCUCACACGUGCUACAAUGGCCGGUACAAUGAGCUGCGAUACCGCGAGGUGGAGCGAAUCUCAAAAAGCCGGUCUCAGUUCGGAUUGGGGUC
This 1109-nucleotide ribosomal RNA is filed under the name Streptomyces sp. S7(2014). Its description in RNAcentral is "bacterial SSU rRNA". It matches the Rfam family "Bacterial small subunit ribosomal RNA", at positions 173 to 1305 of the family's 1533-position model. The record is from RNAcentral. Lineage: Bacteria; Bacillati; Actinomycetota; Actinomycetes; Kitasatosporales; Streptomycetaceae.